UAACUCGCCGGGUAAGUUCGCGAUAAAGUGUUAAUUGCAAUUAUAAUGUACGCGCGCGCACCGAAUGGGGAGUUUGUGCGAGAAAAUCACUUCAGUUCAGUAGUACACUGUUCCCCGACGGUACCAUCAAUAUUCCAUAAAACAUGUGUGCCUCUACCUCAAGUGAUGUUCGUGCAGGCUCCACUUCACUACUGCUAAGCUCCACCUACCCGAACAUUAACCCAGGGAGCUCCGGCUGCGAAGCGGGCCUGAGCCAGACAUAGACAUGGGACUAGGGUAGACUGGAACCUCAAAAAAGCGAAAAGUUCUGUUGCGAUACCCCUCCUAAUUUUUUCAAAAUUCAUUACAAAAUGGCCGAUCGAGACUGGGGUAGAAGGACAGAACUUUUCUUUUUUUUGAGGUUCCAGUCUGUGCCUCGAUGUCAGGAUACUGCCACAUGAUAGACCUUCAUCCAUAUAAUCGUGGAACUUGCAAGAUUGCAAUCACAACAUCCCUUUAUGCGACUAGUGUAGAGACUUGAAGUUGGUACUUCCAAGAAUGCAGAAUCACAACCUCACCUCACUUUAUGCGACUAGUGUAGAGACUUAAAGUUGGCAUUUAUCUGAUCACCGGAUCUCGGCCUCCUUUCCCUUUACCAGUUUAAGACUAGACUAGGUAAAUCAUACAGAUUGUGAGCAGAGAUAAAGAAAGAAGGACAAACUGGAAGGAGGCAGAAGUCCAAGCACUCUGCUUUUUAGCAGCAUUGAACAAGAAAUCCCUCUUUUAAUUUGGAGUAAUGAUUUAAGUUAUCGGAACAAGGCAUUAUGACUGGAACAUGAAGGCAAGCGAUGCAGAGGAAGAAAAAUUAUCUUUUAGAUGAACUCUGCGGACAUCCCAAUACUUUUUCAGAUGCCCCCAGUUAAGUCAACAAUGGAACUUUCCAAGAAGAGGGAAGAGGACCUAUGGAAAGAUAUCCGCCCAUUUGUAGAUGAGGAAAAGGUAGAUCCUCUCAGCAUGAUCUGACCAAUGCGGUGAUGUCUUUUAAGGCAAGCGCACACCUUACGACCCGAUCCGGCGUCACAGCUCUUGUCAGCUUGAGAGUCGCAGACCGGUCAGAGACAAGUCGCAAGGUAAACCGUAAGGAUUUGACAUGUCAAAUCCUUAUGACUGAACGGCAGGCUCAAUCCAACUUCCAACCAAUCAGACAGCAGAGUUGCACGACGCGUAUAUGAUAUACAACAUGCAUACGCUGUACGUAGCAAGCGCUAUUUUCUCAGUUGCUAUGGCAAAAAGCGCAGCAUGCGUGAGUCAAAGACAGCAUAGCAUGAAAGUCGGAUCGCAAGGUGUGCGGUGUCGAGGCUUAUGACUACCAUGCGAUUUAAGCUUCGACACUGCACACCUUGCGAUCCGACUACCAUGCUGUCUGCUACUCACGCAUGCAAUAUAAGGCCAGGGGGUGUUUCACAAAGAUUUAAGUAUGACUUAGAGUCGCACUUAAAUGCCUCAUUACGUGCGAUAUAAAAGGCAUGACCGCAUUGGUCAGGUCAUGAGUAGAGGCAGCGCACUACUGCCUAUUUGCGUUGGCAUUUAAGUGCUACCUAAAUCAUACUUAAAUCGUUGUGAAACACCACCCUGGUUACAUUGUAAAGCCAGGUUAGACUAUAAGUUGUUUCAAUUUUAAGCCAAGUUACUAUUUAAUGUUGGGUUACAUUACAAGGCAAGACUACAUUAUCAGGCCAUGUUACACUUUUAGUCAGGUUACACUAUAAGGUCAGUGGUGUUUCACAAAGAUUUGAAUAUGACUCUUACAUGAUAUGCAACAUGAAUCUUUUUAUCAAUACCGUACGCAGUAGUGCGAGUCCUCUCAGCAUGAUCUGACCAAUGCAGUGAUGUCUUUAAUACUGCAUGCAAGUAGGCCCAGAUUACACUUUUAGAUCAGGAUACCUUCUAAAGCCUGGUUACGCUUUAAAGAAGGUAACUCUUUAAAGCAGGUUAAAUUAUUAGGAGAGGUUACACAAUAAGCACAUGAAUCACACUUAAAAGGUCUAUUGAAGCCACUUGACUUUUCAAUUGCAGGUUACAUUAUAAGGCAAGGUUACACAAUAAGCACAGGUAUCACACUAUCAGGCAACUCAGCCUAAAUUACACUAAAAGAUCAGGAUACAUUUUAAAGCCAGGUUUAAAGCAAGGUUACUGUUUUAAGAAGUUAACUCUUUGCAGGUUAAACUAUAAGGCCAGGUUACACAAUAAGCACAGGUAUCACACUUAAAGCCUAUCAAAGCCAGAUUACUUUUUAAUUCCAGGUUACAUUAUAUAGGCCAGGGGGUGUUUCACAAAGAUUUAAUUAUGACUUAGAGUUGCACUUAAAUGCCUAGUUUUGCGCGGUAUAAAAGCCAUGACCGCAUUGCACAUUGGUCAGAUCAUGCAAAGAGGACGCGCACUAUUGCGUAUUAAUGAAUUAGAUUGCGCGUUGCAUUUCAGAUACGCGUCGGCAUUUAAGUGCGAUUUAAGUCAUACUUAAUUCUUUGUGAAACACCCCCCAGGUUACGUUGACCAUGUUUCAGUUUUAACCUAGUUACUCUUUAAUGUUGGGUUACAUUACAAGGCAAGACUACAUUAUCAGGCCAUGUUACACUUUUAGUCAGGUUACACUAUAAGGUCAGGGGUGUUUCACAAAGAUUUUGAUAUGACUCUUACAUGACAUGCAACGUGAAUCUUUUUUAUCAAUACCGUACGCAGUAGUGCGAGUCAUCUCAGCAUGAUCUGACCAAUGCGGUGAUGUCUUUUAUACUGCACGCAAGUAGGCCCAGAUUACACUACUGCUAUUUCAGACUUUGUUCUUGUAUUAAAAGUCUUCAGAUUACUAAAAAAUAGUGGUCAUAAAACUGUCUGGGAGUUAUGCUUAAUUUUAUACCUAAAAAGCCAUUUGUGACUUUGAGGAUUUUUUCACUCUUAUUUUUUGGAGGAUUUUUUUUACAAAAACAUCACGCUGAUCAUUUCAUGACAUGAAUGCAAGCAAGAAUAAAACCUGCAAAAUAAACAUUUCUAAUUAUAUGCAUUCUAAUUUUAUAUGAAUUAAACAAGGAUCAAUAGACCGGUUUACUAACAUAUUCAAAUUUUAUGCAUACCAGUUUAACAAAGGUUGCUUCUAACAACCGGAAAGCUUGCCUGAUAUUUGCCGAAAAUAGCAACAACUAAUGUAUGCAAAGUGGAUUCCAAGUAUUGAAAUACCAUUAAUAGCAGGUCUGAUUAAUAGGUACAGGUUAAUAGAAUAACUCGUUACUAGGCCCCGAUGGAAGAAACAUCCAUAAAUUUGACCUUAUUAGUAAAUCGGUCUAUUUCAGGGCGUCACUGGUACCUAUCUCCUGUUGGUGGCGAGCUGCUCAUCGUUGGAAAGUGAACAUUGCGCGUUGGAUCUCAAAUCAAAAGAUUUUUAUUAGAAUAUCUCUUUUACAGUUUUAUUGAUCAAAUUUGUAUGUAUCCAAUAUAUAGUAUUCCUCUGGUAAUUAUGGAGUCAGAAGACAUGGAACUGUUAUUAUUUUGGCUAUAUAGAUCCAUAAUGUUUUGGAUAUUCAUGCUUGUGCAAUCAACAAUUUCAGGUUUCUGAAUGUAUCAGGAUUGGGUUCUGGCUUAGUGGUCGAGGAUUUGGCUUUGCGUCCCAAUCCCACCCACAAACAACAAUAUAUAGUUGACUUACCAUAUUAUUGUAUUUUAAUAACUCAGGUAUAUGGUUUUUGUCUCACCUGCAUAGCAGAGUGAGACUAUAGGCGCCGCUUUUCCGACGGCGGCGGCGGCGGCGGCGGCGGCGUCAACACCAAAUCUUAACCUGAGGUUAAGUUUUUGAAAUGACAGCAUAACUUAGAAAGUAUAUGGACCUAGUUCAUGAAACUUGGCCAUAAGGUUAAUCAAGUAUUACUGAACAUCCUGCCUGAGUUUCAUGUCACAUGACCAAGGUCAAAGGUCAUUUAGGGUCAAUGAACUUAGACCAUGUUGGGGGAAUCAACAUCAAAAUCUUAACCUAAGGUUAAGUUUUUGAAAUGUCAUCAUAACUUAGAAAAUAUAUGGACCUAGUUCAUGAAACUUAUACAUAAGGUUAAUCAAGUAUCACUGAACAUCCUGCAUGAGUUUCACAUCACAUGACCAAGGUCAAAGGUCAUUUAGGGUCAAUGAACUUUGGCCGAAUUGGGGGUAUCUGUUGAAUUACCAUCAUAACUUUGAAAGUUUAUGGAUCUGAUUCAUGAAACUUGGACAUAAUAGUAAUCAAGUAUUUCUGAACAUCCUGUGCAAGUUUCAGGUCACAUGAUAAAGGUCAAAGGUCAUUUAGGGUCAAUGAACUUUGGCCAAAUUGGGGUAUUUGUUGAAUUACAGCCAUAAAUUUGAAAGUGUGUUGGUCUAGUUCAUAAAACUUGGACAUAAUAGUAAUCAAGUAUCACUGAACAUCCUGUGCGAGUUUCAGGUCACAUGAUCAAGAUCAAAGGUCAUGUAAGGUCAAAGAACUUUGGCCACGUUGGGGGUAUUUGUUGAAUUGCCAUCAUAUCUCUAUAAGUGUAUUGGUCUAGUUCAUAAAACGUGGAAAUAAGAGUAACCAAGUAUCACUGAACAUCUUGUGCGAGUUAUAGUAGUUUUCAAAAUCAGCACUGCUGCUAUAUUGAAUUGCGUGAUGCAGGUGAGACGGCCAGAGGCAUUCCACUUGUUUUGUAUUCUAAGAAUUUUAUGUCGUAUAUAUAAUGCUUUUGUCUAGUUUUGUUUUUAGGAGUUUCACAGAGUAUUCAUUUGCUUUAUACUUCGCUUUAUUUUGCUGCUUUGUUCUCCUUAACAAGAUAUAUAUAGCAUCAUUUUGCUAGUACGUUUGUUUCUUUUGAUUGCUCUUUCUUUCAUGUACAUAUAUUUUAUAGAAACAGGCCCACUCUACCUCAAGUAAAAGGUUGUCUUGUACACAUCGGGGUGUGGCCUUCUAAUCUAAAUUGUUUGGUCUUCAUUAUGGUAUGAGAUAUAUGGAGUUUAAUUUAAACUAUUAUUUGAAUAGUUUUGUGGAGUAGAGUAUUUGUUACCCAUACAGAUAACAUGACUUUUUUCUUUCUUAAUUUAAGAGUUUUAUGAAGUAUAUUGACGACUAGAUUUGCUUCACAUCUCAGUGUACUUUGUUGAUUUUUUCUUCAAUAAAGUUACAUCAGCACUUUAUUUUAUA
Long non-coding RNA from Lytechinus pictus (painted urchin), 5167 nucleotides. RefSeq lists it as uncharacterized. The record is from RefSeq and is a predicted model, not a curated record. The transcript has 7 exons. Lineage: Eukaryota; Metazoa; Echinodermata; Echinoidea; Temnopleuroida; Toxopneustidae.